RNAcentral lists this ribosomal RNA (800 nucleotides) under Bacillus sp. Ni4. Its description in RNAcentral is "bacterial SSU rRNA". It matches the Rfam family "Bacterial small subunit ribosomal RNA", at positions 379 to 1172 of the family's 1533-position model. RNAcentral also lists the same sequence under 5 other names. Lineage: Bacteria; Bacillati; Bacillota; Bacilli; Caryophanales; Bacillaceae. The record is from RNAcentral.
AAGUCUGACGGAGCAACGCCGCGUGAGUGAUGAAGGUUUUCGGAUCGUAAAGCUCUGUUGUUAGGGAAGAACAAGUGCAAGAGUAACUGCUUGCACCUUGACGGUACCUAACCAGAAAGCCACGGCUAACUACGUGCCAGCAGCCGCGGUAAUACGUAGGUGGCAAGCGUUGUCCGGAAUUAUUGGGCGUAAAGGGCUCGCAGGCGGUUUCUUAAGUCUGAUGUGAAAGCCCCCGGCUCAACCGGGGAGGGUCAUUGGAAACUGGGAAACUUGAGUGCAGAAGAGGAGAGUGGAAUUCCACGUGUAGCGGUGAAAUGCGUAGAGAUGUGGAGGAACACCAGUGGCGAAGGCGACUCUCUGGUCUGUAACUGACGCUGAGGAGCGAAAGCGUGGGGAGCGAACAGGAUUAGAUACCCUGGUAGUCCACGCCGUAAACGAUGAGUGCUAAGUGUUAGGGGGUUUCCGCCCCUUAGUGCUGCAGCUAACGCAUUAAGCACUCCGCCUGGGGAGUACGGUCGCAAGACUGAAACUCAAAGGAAUUGACGGGGGCCCGCACAAGCGGUGGAGCAUGUGGUUUAAUUCGAAGCAACGCGAAGAACCUUACCAGGUCUUGACAUCCUCUGACAACCCUAGAGAUAGGGCUUUCCCUUCGGGGACAGAGUGACAGGUGGUGCAUGGUUGUCGUCAGCUCGUGUCGUGAGAUGUUGGGUUAAGUCCCGCAACGAGCGCAACCCUUGAUCUUAGUUGCCAGCAUUUAGUUGGGCACUCUAAGGUGACUGCCGGUGACAAACCGGAGGAAG